RNAcentral lists this long non-coding RNA (26821 nucleotides) under Triticum aestivum (bread wheat). RNAcentral's name for it is "long non-coding RNA (TAES_LNC002142)". Lineage: Eukaryota; Viridiplantae; Streptophyta; Magnoliopsida; Poales; Poaceae. The record is from RNAcentral.
GUGUUUUUUUCUUUCGUGAGAGUCACAAUUUUGCUUCCGUGAGAGGCAUGGUUUUUCUUUCGCGAGAGUCACGGCCGUGUCUCUUGGAAAUGGAAAAAAACACGUUUUCUGUUUUUUUUCUUUCACGAGAGACACGGUUAUGCUUUAGCGAGAGUCACGGCUGUGCCUCUUGGAAACGAAAAAAAAACGCAUUUUCUGUUUUUUCUCCUUUCGCGAGAGUCAUGGUUUUGCUUCCGUGAGAGGCACGGGUGUGUGAAAGUGCGUUAUAUCGACUAGAGGGGGGUGAAUAGGCGAUUUUUACAAAUUCAUCACUGAGAAAUUUCUAGGUGAAGAAAUUCCUAAGCAAUGACACACUAGCAGCGGAAUAAGUACUCAAGUAUAAGCAUAACAGAGCAACAUCAUAGUCAUCAUGAUAAAAUAAAAACAAGCACAGAGUACAGAUAGCGUGAAAACAGGAUAAGUAAACUAAAGACUAUGUGACUGAAGAAUUAGUAUUGAGGAAAUAGAGAAAAUCUUCAGUCAAAGUCUUCACGCAGUAAUGAUCAAAUUCAUCAACACAUUAAUGAGAAAAUGGAAGGGUCGAGAAAAUAGAACCAAUUGGCUUGGUGAAGACAAUGAUUUAGUAGACCAGUUCCAACUACUGUGACAGUUGUACGUCUGGUUGGAGCGGCUGCGUAUUUAAACCCGAGGACACACAGUCCUCACCGUAUUCUCUUUGAGCUAAAGUCAUACAGACCUCGCCCAAUCACUCGUGAUAACUCUUCAGGUGACUUCCAAACCUUCACAGACUCGGUCACUCGGCGAUUCAUAAUUUCUCUUGGAUGCUUAGACCAUGGCGCCUAACUGUCUGGAGGAUACAUAGUCCUCAAAGGUAACAAGCGUCGGUUCCACACAGGAACAAUCUCUUCAGUGAUGCUCAAUCACUUUGAAUUUGUAGGUGUUUGGGUUUGGGUUUUCCUUGAUGAUUUUCGCUCAAAGUCCUCGGAGGAUGGGAUGCUCUCAAUGACAAUUGUCAAUUUCUCUCGGAGCAGCCAACCAACUAGUGGUUGUAGGAGGCGGCUAUUUAUAGCCUAAUGAACAGUCUGACAUGAUAAGACAUAAAUACCCUUCAAUGAUAUGACCGUUAGGUGGGUAGCUAUUUUGGGACAGCUGGCGCAUAGCACAGUAACGGUCGGAUAUUUGAGGUUCAAAUUCCUUGGGGCUAUCAUGUUCCUCACUGUGUAGGCAAUUUGCACUGGCGAAUUCCUAACUCCUCAGUCAGAACAAAUUCCCCAGAGACCAGAAGAUCUUCGUCUCUGUCACUGAAGAAAUUGACUGAACUAAUAUGAGAUUUCCAAUGGCUUCACUCGAAAGGAUUGGGUAGGUGUAGGAUUUUGAGAUGAGCAUCACUUGAAAAUCACUUUUCUUAGUAUUACCUCGACCCCCUUUAACAAUACGAUGUUUCCUAUGACUCAAAACAGAGAAAAAGAAACUACGAAAACACAAGUCUUCACGCUUCAUAAUCCUCGCAAGAAUAUCCAAGUCUUCAAGGUCACACCAAUUUCUUCACUUUCAAAAUCUUCAGGAGAACCAAAGUCUUCAACUGAAGACAUAGAUUUUUGGGGGUCGACUUUCAUCGUAAGUAUCGAACUCCUCAUCGACUUAUAGAGCCUGUGUACAUUCACAAACAUAUUAGGCCCUUAACCUAUAAGUCUUCAAUACACCAAAAUCACUAAGGGGCACUAGAUGCACUUACAGUGCGUUUUGCGAGUCACGAUCAUGCCUCCUCGGGAAUGAAACAAAACACGUUUUAUCUUUUUUUUUCGCGAAAGUCACGGUUUUGCUUUUGCGAGAGGCAUGAUUGUGAUUUCGUGAGAUGCACGGACGUGCCUCUUUCGGAAAGGGAAAAACCCCAUGUUCCCGGUUUGGUUUUUUUGUCCGCAUUUUUCAUAAAAAAAAGUUCCUCAAAACCUAUCAACAUGAGAUUUAGUUUUGAAGGUCUCGACGCAAGAAAUCCAACGGUGAAAGCGGUUCGAGAUUUGGACGCACGGUUUAAGAGAUAAAAUGUUUUGAAUAAACGGAUCUGCGAAAAAAGAAAAAACUCCUAGGUUGCGACAAGUGGUCCCAACCGGAGGAGGUUGGAGUGAUCUUUACAACAAGUACUCCUCAACUAGUGAUUUCGGUGUUCUGUCCUUUUCUUCUUCUCAUCGCCGUGGACUGGGCCUGGGUCGGGGCACAUUCUAUCCUUUUAGUUCAUCGCCGUGUGCUAGGGCAUGGAUGCAGGUCUUUUCCCUUGCUUAUUUUGGACCUUUUUUGCGUCCCUAAUUUUAACACCCGAGAGAACAGAGGAGAAGCGGUCACUUAGGAGGGUGUCUCUGACUUUGCCUUAGAAAAGUCUGAUGCUAGGCGUCAACGACUGAUGUUAGAUAAAACUUAGGCCCUGAUUGGAUUGUUGUUUUCCAGCGCUUUACACACGAUACACACCUCCAUCCGUCGUUUUCAUUCUUCGUUGAAAAUUACAUACAUCCGGUGAAAUACAUGUGUAGAAUAAAUACAGUUGUAAAAGGAUACACCGAUUCCAAGCAGGGCCUUAGUCGGUUGACCAGCCGUCCAAUGUGUUUUGAUCUGGAAGUGCCCAACCACCAGAUUAAGGCUAGCCAUAGUGGUGGUAUCAUAACCGGUAUCAUGCACUCAGAAAUAGCAAGUAUGCUGCUGGGGCAAAGAAUUAAAGAAGAUAGAGAGGGUUAGAGUAACAUAGGUAGAUACUGUAUCAUGUUAAUGAUGCUAAUUCGUGUCAUGCAUGACAAUAAAUAUGAUCAUCUAUGAUAUUACUCUAUGAUACUAUGCACUAUAAAGGUAGUAUCAUACACUAGUAUCAUAUGUAUGAUACUUGGUCUCGGGGCGUCACAUACUACCGGGUAUGUGUGGUGGGAAAGACGUAAACUGGUUCAUGAUGAAGCAAUACAAAGUGCAUCCCAGAUCUCUAUGGGGAUUCGUGACCUUACAACAAACUUUGCUAUUGGUUCAUCCCCAAGAGCGACGAUAAAAAAAGGGGGCUGAAAUCGUCCCACGGGUUUUUUUUGUAAAACUCAAUACUGAUACAUCCUUUGACCAUGAUCAACUUAGCGGCGCAGUCAGGGCGGUUUUUAAGAAUGAAAAAAGGGCAAAUUCAUUGCACGGGGAAUAGAAGGAUAGACUGGUGCGUGGAUGUCCUGACAGUUUAAGCUUUGGUCCUCAGGUUCGGUUUGUCUCUUGCACAAAGCCGGGGUGUAAUCAUCUUGUCAUUUACUCAGACAACCCGAAAGUCAUCGACACCAUAAAGAGCGAAGGAUGUUUUGCGGGCACGGCGGCUGCGGUUUUUUGGCGUCUAUUAUUAUUUUUGGUGUGAUUUUUCUAUUUCUAGAUGCAAACCUUAUAAUUGAGAAGCAAAUAACUAGCACAUGAGCUGGCUAGGUUGUUGGCUAAAUUUUCUCUUUUGAUUGGCUGGAGGAACCUCAUUGUAGAUGUAUCUAUUAUUUCUAUCCAACAAAGUUUCGGUUUAAGUGUUGAUGAUGGAAUUAAUCCACGAAUAAUGCUACACGUACAAAAGGACACAUGCUUUUACAUAAAUGUGGGUUUUGAUUGAAGAUUAAAGGGAAGAAGGUGCCCACCCUCAUAAAAAACAGGGGGAGGGAAGUUAGAUAGUUUAAAAAGAUCCUAGUCAGCGUGUAAAAGCAUGUAAACCUUUGUAUGUUUGGCAUUAUUGUUAAUGCACGGUCGCUGUGUCACACCGGCCGUAGAUUGAGAUCAAUGGUUAUCCGUGUUGGGUUUCGUAGUAAUUUCAAAAAAUUUCCUACGCACACGCAAGAUCAUGGUGAUGUAUAGCAAUGAGAGGGGAGAGUGUGAUCUACGUACCCUUGUAGACCGACUGCGGAAGCGUUAGCACAAUGCGGUUGAUGUAGUCGUACGUCUUCAUGAUCCGACCGAUCCAAGCACCGUUACUCCGGCACCUCCGAGUUCUUGGCACACGUUCAGCUCGAUGACGCUCCCCGGGCUCCGAUCCAGCAAAGCUUCGGGGAGGAGUUCCGUCAGCACGACGGCGUGGUGACACCGUCGCAGGGCUUCGCCUAAGCACCGCUACAAUAUUAUCGAGGAUUAUGGUGGAAGGGGGCACCGCGCACGGCUAAGAAUAUGAUCACGUGGAUCAACUUGUGUCUAGAGGUGCCCUCCUGCCCCCGUAUAUAAAGAAGCAAGGGAGGAGGAGGCCGGCCCUAGGAGGGGGCGCGCCAAGUGUGGAGUCCUACUAGGACUCCCUAGUCCUAGUAGGAUUCCACCUCCCAUAUGGAAUAGGAAAAGAGGAAGGGAAAAGGAGAAGGAAGGAAGGGGGCGCCCCCCUUCCCUAGUCCAAUUCGGACCAGACCAAGGGGAGGGGUGCGGCCACCCUUGAGGCCCUUUUUCUUCUUUCCCGUAUGACCCAAUAAGCCCCAAUACGUAUUCCCGUAACUCUCCGGUACUCCGAAAAAUACCCGAAUCACUCGGAUCCUUUCCGAUGUCCGAAUAUAGUCGUCCAAUAUAUCGAUCUUUACGUCUCGACCAUUUCGAGACUCCUCGUCAUGUCCCCGAUCUCAUCCGGGACUUCGAACUCCUUCGGUACAUCAAAACUCAUAAACUCAUAAUAUAACUGUCAUUAAAACCUUAAGCGUGCGGACCCUACGGGUUCGAGAACAAUGUAGACAUGACCGAGACACGUCUCCAGUCAAUAACCAAUAGCGGAACCUGGAUGCUCAUAUUGGCUACCACAUAUUCUACGAAGAUCUUUAUCGGUCAGACCGCAUAACAACAUACGUUGUUCCCUUUGUCAUCGGUAUGUUACUUGCCCGAGAUUCGAUCCUCGGUAUCUUAAUACAUAGUUCAAUCUCGUUACCGGCAAGUCUCUUUACUCGUUCCGUAAUACAUCAUCUCACAACUAACUCAUUAUUUGCAAUAUUUGCAAGGCUUAUGUGAUGUGCACUACCGAGAGGGCCCAAAGAUACCUCUCCGACAAUCAGAGUGACAAAUCCUAAUCUCGAAAUACGCCAACCCAACAUGUACCUUUGGAGACACCUGUAGAGCUCCUUUAUAAUCACCCAGUUACGUUGUGACGUUUGGUAGCACAUAAAGUGUUCCUCCGACAAACGGGAGUUGCAUAAUAUCAUAGUCAUAGGAACAUGUAUAAGUCAUGAAGAAAGCAAUAGCAACAUACUAAACGAUUGGGUGCUAAGCUAAUGGAAUGGGUCAUGUCAAUCACAUCAUUCUCCUAAUGAUGUGAUCCCGUUAUUCAAAUAACAACUCUUUUGUUUAUGGUUAGGAAACAUAACCAUCUUCGAUUAACGAGCUAGUCAAGUAGAGGCAUACUAGUGACACUCUGUUUGUCUAUGUAUUCACACAUGUAUUAUGUUUUCGGUUAAUACAAUUCUAGCAUGAAUAAUAAGCAUUUAUCAUGAUAUAAGGAAAUAAAUAAUAACUUUAGUAUUGCCUCUAGGGCAUAUUUACUUCAGUCUCCCACUUGCACUAGAGUCAAUAAUCUAGUUCACAUCGCCAUGUGAUUCAACACUAAGAGUUCAUAUCACCAUGUGAUUAACACCCAUAGUUCACAUCGUCAUGUGACCUAUACCCAAAGGGUUUACUAGAGUCAAUAAUCUAGUUCACAUCAUUUAUGUGAUUAACACCCAAAGAGUACUAAGGUGUGAUCAUGUUUUGCUUGUGAGAUAAUUUUAGUCAACGGGUCUGUCACAUACAGAUCCAUAAGUAUUUUGCGAAUUCUAUGUCUACAAUGCUCUGCACGGAGCUACUCUAGCUAAUUGCUCCCACUUUCAAUAUGUAUCUAGAUCGAGACUUAGAGUCAUCCAGAUCUGUGUCAAAACUUGCAUCGACGUAACUUUUUACGACGAACCUUUUGUCACCUCCAUAAUCGAGAAAUAUUUCCUUAUUCCACAAAGGAUAAUUUUGACCAAUGUCCAGUGAUCUACUCUUAGAUCACUAUUGUACUCCCUUGCUUAACACAGUGUAGGGUAUACAAUAGAUCUGGUACACAUCAUGGCAUACUUUAUAGAACCUAUGGCUGAGGCAUAGGGAAUGACUUUCAUUCUCUUUCUAUCUUCUGCCGUGGUCGGGCUUUGAGUCUUACUCAAUUUCAUACCUUGUAACACAGCCAAGAACUCUUUCUUUGACUGUUCCAUUUUUUAACUACUUCAAAAUAUUGUCAAGGUAUGUACUCAUUGAAAAAACUUAUCAAGCGUCUUGAUCUAUCUCUAUAGAUUUUGAUGCUUAAUAUGUAAGCAGCUUCAUCGAGGUCUUUCUUUGAAAAACUUCUUUAAAAACACUCCUUUAUGCUUUGUAGAAUAAUUCUACAUUAUUUUCGAUCAUCAACAAUAUAUCAUUCACAUAUACUUAUCAGAAAUGUUGUAGUGCUCCCACUCACUUUCUUGUAAAUACAGGCUUCACCGCAAGUCUGUAUAAAACUAUAUGCUUUGAUUUGAUCAUACUAUCAAAGCAUUUAUUCCAACUCCGAGAGGCUUGCACCAGUCCAUAAAUGGAUCGCUGGAGCUUGCACACUUUGUUAGCUCCUUUUGGAUCGACAAAACCUUCCGGCUGCAUCUUAUACAACUCUUCUUCCAGAAAUCCAUUCGGGAAUGCAGUUUUGACAUCCAUUUGCUGGAUUUCAUAAAAUGCGGCAAUUGCUAACAUGAUUCGGACAGACUUAAGCAUAGAUACGAGUGAGAAACUCUCAUCAUAGUCAACACCUUGAACUUGUCGAAAACAUUUUUGCGACAAUUCUAGCUUUGUAGAUAGUAACACUACUAUCAGCGUCCGUCUUCCUCUUGAAGAUCCAUUUAAUCUCAAUGGCUCGCCGAUCAUUGGGCAAGUCAAUCAAAGUCCAUACUUUGUUCUCAUACAUGGAUCUCAUCUCAGAUUUCAUGGCCUCAAGCCAUUUCGCGGAAUCUAGGCUCAUCAUCGCUUCCUCAUAGUUCGCAAGUUCGUCAUGGUCUAGUAACAUGACUUCCAGAAGAGGAUUACCGUACCACUUUGGUGCGGAUCUCAUUCUGGUUUACCUACGAGAUUCGGUAUUAAAUUGAUCUGAAGUUACAUGAUCAUCAUCAUUAGUCUUCCUCACUAAUUGGUGUAGUAGUCACAGGAACAGAUUUCUUGCGAUGAACUACUUUUCAAUAAGGGAGAAGGUACAAUUACCUUAUCAAGUUCUACUUUUCUCCCACUCACUUCUUUCAAGAGAAACUCCUUCUCUAGAAAGGAUCCAUUCUUAGCAACGAAUGUCUUGCCUUCGGAUCUGUGAUAGAAGGUGUACCCAAUAGUCUCCGAUUUGGGUUUGAGCUUAUCAGGAUGCAACUUUUUCAUAUAAGCAUCACAAUCCCAAACUUUAAGAAACGACAACUUUGGUUUCUUGCCAAACCACAGUUCAGAUUGUGUCGUCUCAACGGAGUUAGAUGGUGCCCUUUUAAACGUGAAUGCAACUGUCUUUAAUGCAUAACCCCAAAACGAUAGUGGUAGAUCGGUAAGAGACAUCAUAGAUCGCACCAUAUCUAAUAAAGUACGGUUAUGAUGUUCGGACACACCAUUAUGCUGUGGUGUUCCAGGUGGCGUGAGUAGUGAAACUAUUUCACAUUGUUUUAACUGAAGGCCAGACUCGUAACUCAAAUAUUUUACCUCUGCGAUCAUAUCGUAGAAACUUUUAUUUUCUUGUUACGAUGAUUCUCUACUUCACUCUGAAAUUCUUUGAACUUUUCAAAUAUUUCAGACUUGUGUUUCAUUAAGUAGAUAUACCCAUAUCUGCUCAAAUCAUCUGUGAAGGUCAGAAAAUAAUGAUACCCGCCACGAGCCUUAACACUCAUCGGAUCUCAUACAUCAGUAUGUAUUAUUUCCAAUAAGUCAGUUGCUCGCUCCAUAGUUCCGGAGAACGGCGUUUUAGUCAUCUUGCCCAUGAGGCAUGGUUCGCAAGCAUCAACUGAUUCAUAAUCAAGUGAUUCCAAAAACCCAUUAGCAUGGAGUUUCUUCAUGCGCUUUACACCAAUAUGACCUAAACGGCAGUGCCACAAAUAAGUUGCACUAUCAUUAUUAACUUUGCAUCUUUUGGUUUCAAUAUUAUGAUUAUGUGUAUCACUACGAUCGAGAUCCAACGAACUAUUUUCAUUGGGUGUGUAACCAUAUAAGGUUUUAUUCAUGUAAACAGAACAACAAUUUAUUCUCUUACUUAAAUGAAUAACCGUAUUACAAUAAACAUGAUCAAAUCAUAUUCAUGCUCAACGCAAACACCAAAUAACACUUAUUCAGGUUCAACACUAAUCCCGAAAGUAUAGGGGAGUGUGCGAUGAUGAUCAUAUCAAUCUUGGAACCACUUCCAACACACAUAGUCACUUCACCCUUAACUAGUCUCUGUUUAUUCUGCAACUCCCGUUUCGAGUUACUAAUCUUAGCAACUGAACUAGUAUCAAAUACUGAGGGGUUGCUAUAAACACUAGUAAAGUACACAUCAAUAACAUGUAUAUCAAAUAUACUUAUGUUCACUUUGCCAUCCUUCUUAUCUGCCAAUCACUUGGGGUAGUUCCGCUUCCAGUGACCAGUCCCUUUGCAGUAGAAACACUUAGUCUCAGGCUUAGGACCAGACUUGGAUUUUUUCACUUGAGCAGCAACUUGCUUGCCGUUCUUCUUAAAGUUCCCCUUCUUCCCUGUGCCCUUUUCUUGAAACUAGUGAUCUUGUCAACCAUCAACACUUGAUGUUUUUCUUGAUUUCUACCUUCGUUAAUUUCAGCAUCACGAAGAGCUUGGGAGUUGUUUCCGUUAUCCCUUGCAUAUUAUAGUUCAUCACGAAGUUCUACUAACUUGGUGAUGGUGACUAGAGAAUUCUGUCAAUCACUAUCUUAUCUGGAAGAUUAACUCCCACUUGAUUCAAGCGAUUGUAGUACCCAGACAAUCUGAGCACAUGCUCACUAGUUGAGCGAUUCUCCUCCAUCUUUUAGCUAUAGAACUUGUUGGAGACUUCAUAUCUCUCAACUCGGGUAUUUGCUUGAAAUAUUAACUUCAACUCCUGGAACAUCUCAUAUGGUCCAUGUUCAAAACGUCUUUGAAGUCCCGAUUCUAAGCCAUUUAAGUAUGGUGCACUAAACUAUCAAGUAGUCAUCAUAUUGAGCUAGCCAAACGUUCAUAACGUCUGCAUCUGCUCCUGCAAUAGGUCUGUCACCUAGCGGUGCAUCAAGGACAUAAUUCUUCUGUGCAGCAAUGAGGAUAAACCUCAGAUCACGGAUCCAAUCCGCAUCAUUGCUACUAACAUCUUUCAACACAAUUUUCUCUAGGAACAUAUCAAAAUAAACACAGGGAAGCAACAACGCGAGCUAUUGAUCUAUAACAUAAUUUGCAAAAUACUACCAGGACUAAGUUCAUGAUAAAUUUAAGUUCAAUCAAUCAUAUUACUUAAGAACUCCCACUUAGAUAGACAUCCCUCUAAUACUCUAAGUGAUUACGUGAUCCAAAUCAACUAAACCAUGUCCGAUCAUCACGUGAGAUGGAGUAGUUUCAUUGGUGAACAUCGCUAUGUUGAUCAUAUCUGCUAUAUGAUUCACGCUCGACCUUUUGGUCUCCGUGUUCCGAGGCCAUAUCUGUAUAUGCUUGGCUCGUCAAGUAUAACCUGAGUAUUCUGCGUGUGCAACUGUUUUGCACCCGUUGUAUUUGAACGUAGAUCCUAUCACACCCGAUCAUCACGUGGUGUCUCAGCACGAAGAACUUUCGCAACGGUGCAUACUCAGGGAGAACACUUCUUGAUAAUUAGUGAGAGAUCAUCUUAUAAUGCUACCGUCAAUCAAAGCAAGAUAAGAUGCAUAAAAGAUAAACAUCACAUGCAAUCAAUAUAAGUGAUAUGAUAUGGCCAUCAUCAUCUUGUGCUUGUGAUCUCCAUCUUCGAAGCACCGUCAUGAUCACCAUCGUCACCGGCGCGACACCUUGAUCUCCAUCGUAGCAUCGUUGCCGUCUCGCCAAUCUUAUGCUUCCACGACUAUCGCUACCGCUUAGUGAUAAAGUAAAGCAUUACAGCGCGAUUACAUUGCAUACAAUAAAGCGACAACCAUAUGGCUCCUGCCAGUUGCCGAUAACUCGGUUACAAAACAUGAUCAUCUCAUACAAUUAAAUUUAGCAUCAUGUCUUGACCAUAUCACAUCACAACAUGCCCUGCAAAAACAAGUUAGACGUCUUCUACUUUGUUGUUGCAAGUUUUACGCGGCUGCUACGGGCUUAAGCAAGAACCAAUGUUACCUACGCAUCAAAACCACAACGAUAGUUUGUCAAGUUGGUGCUGUUUUAACCUUCGCAAGGACCGGGCGUAGCCACACUCGGUUCAACUAAAGUUGGAGAAACUGUCACCCGCUGGCCACCUUUGUGCAAAGCACGUCGGGAGAACCGAUCUCGCGUAAGCGUACGCGUAAUGUUGGUCCGGGCCGCUUCGUCCAACAAUACCGCCGAACCAAAGUAUGACAUGCUGGUAAGCAAUAUGACUUAUAUCGCCCACAACUCACUUGUGUUCUACUUGUGCAUAUAACAUCAACAUAUAAAACCUAGGCUCUGAUACCAUUAUCGGGUUUCGUAGUAAUUUCAAAAAAAUUCCUACGCACACGCAAGAUCAUGGUGAUGCAUAGCAACGAGAGGGGAGAGUGUGAUCUACGUACCCUUGUAGACCGACUACGGAAGCGUUAGCACAACGCGGUUGAUGUAGUCGUACGUCUUCACGAUCCGACUGAUCUAAGCACCGUUACUCCGGCACCUCCGAGUUCUUGGCACACGAUCAGCUCGAUGACGCUCCCCGGGCUCCGAUCCAGCAAAGCUUCGGGGAGGAGUUCCGUCAGCACGACGGCGUGGUGACAAUCUUGAUGUUCUACCGUCGCAGGGCUUCGCCUAAGCACCGCUACAAUAUUAUCGAGGAUUAUGGUGGAAGGGGGCACCGCACACGGCUAAGAAUAUGAUCACGUGGAUCAACUUGUGUCUAGAGGUGCCCCCUGUCCCCGUAUAUAAAGGAGCAAGGGAGGAGGAGGCCGGCCCUAGGAGGGGGCGCGCCAAGUGUGGAGUCCUACUAGGACUCCCUAGUCCUAGUAGGAUUCCACCUCCCAUAUGGAAUAGGAAAAGAGGAAGGGAAAAGGAGAAGGAAGGAAGGGGGCGCCCCCCUUCCCUAGUCCAAUUCGGACCAGACCAAGGGGAGGGGUGCGGCCACCCUUGAGGCCCUUUUUCUUCUUUCCCGUAUGGCCCAAUAAGGCCCAAUACGUAUUCCCGUAACUCUCUGGUACUCCGAAAAAUACCCGAAUCACUCAAAACCUUUCCGAUGUCCGAAUAUAGUCGUCCAAUAUAUCGAUCUUUACGUCUCGACCAUUUCGAGACUCCUCGUCAUGUCCCCGAUCUCAUCCGGGACUUCGAACUCCUUCGGUACAUCAAAACUCAUAAACUCAUAAUAUAACUGUCAUUGAAACCUUAAGCGUGCGGACCCUACGGGUUCGAGAACAAUGUAGACAUGACCGAGACACGUCUCCAGUAAAUAACCAAUAGCGGAACCUGGAUGCUCAUAUUGGCUCCCACAUAUUCUACGAAGAUCUUUAUCGGUCAGACCGCAUAACAACAUACGUUGUUCCCUUUGUCAUCGGUAUAUUACUUGCCCGAGAUUCGAUCGUCGGUAUCUUAAUACCUAGUUCAAUCUCGAUGCGCGGCCCCUCCCGGACCCUCCAGUAUCGAGUUGUAAUCAUUGAGUUGUAAAUAAAUAGAAGUGUGAUGAUCAUCAUUCAAUAGAGCAUUGUCCCAAUAAAAAAAGAAAGGCCAAAAAAAGAAAGCCCAAAAAAAUAAAAAAAAUAAAGGGGCAAUGCUACUAUCCUUUUUUCCACACUUGUGCUUCAAAGUAGCACCAUGAUAUAGUAAGUCUCAUAUAUUGUGCUUCAAAGUAGCACCAUGUUCUAUAUAGAAAGUCUCAUAUGUUGUCACUUUCAUAUACUAGUGGGAAUUUUAUGUUAUAGAACUUGGCUUGCAUAUUCCAAUGAUGAGCUUCCUCAAAUUGCCCUAGGUCUUCGUGAGCAAGCAAGUUGGAUACACAUCCACUAGUUUCUUUUGUUGAGCUUUCAUACAUUUAUAGCUCUAGUGCAUCCGUUGCAUGGCAAUCUCUACUCACUCACAUUGAUAUCUAUUGAUGGGCAUCUCCAUAGCCCGUUGAUAUGCCUAGUCGAUGUGAGACUAUCUUCUCCUUUUUGUCUUCUCCACAACCACCAUUCUAUUCCACCUAUAGUGCUAUAUCCAUGGCUCACGCUCAUGUAUUGCGUGAAGAUUGAAAAAGUUUUGAAAAAGUUAGAGUAUGAAACAAUUGCUUGGCUUGUCAUCGGGAUUGUGCAUGAUUUAAAUACUUUGUGUGGGGAAAAUGGAGCAUAGCCAGACUAUAUGAUUUUGUAGGGAUAACUUUCUUUGGCCAUGUUAUUUUGAGAAGACAUAAUUGCUUUGUUAGUAUGCUUGAAGUAUUAUUAUUUUCUAUGUCAAUAUAAACUUUUGUCUUGAAUAUUUCUAAUCUAAAUAUUCAUACCACAAUUAAGAAGAUUUGCAUUGAAAUUAUGCCAAGUAGCACUCCGCACCAAAAAUUCUCUUUUUAUCAUUUACCUACUCGAGGACGAGCAGGAAUUAAGCUUGGGGAUGCCUGAUACGUCUCCAACGUAUCUAUAAUUUUUGAUUGCUCCAUGCUAUAUUAUCUACUGUUUUGGACUAUAUUGGGCUUUAUUUUCCACUUUUAUAUUAUUUUUGGGACUAACCUAUUAACCGGAGGCCCAACCCAGAAUUCCUGUUUUUUGCCUAUUUCAGUGUUUCAGUUAAGCGGAAUAUCAAACGGAGUCCAAACGGAAUAAAAUCUUCGGGAACGUGAUUUUCUCACCGAAUGUGAUCCAGGAAACUUGGACCCUACUGCAAGGGAUCAAAGAGGUGGUCAUGAAGGUGGGGGCGCCCCCCCUAGGGCGUGCCCCCCUGCCUCGUGGGCCCCUCGGUGCUCCACCGACGUACUCCUUCCUCCUAUAUAUACACACGUACCCCCAAACGAUCAGAAUAGGAGCAAAAAACCUAAUUCCACCGCCACAACUUUCUGUAUCCACGAGAUCCCAUCUUGGGGCUUAUUCCGGAGCUCCGCCGGAAGAGGGCCGUCAUCACGGAGGGCUUCUACAUCAUCAUAGCCUCUCCGAUGAAGUGUGAUUAGUUUACCUCAGACCUUCGGGUCCAUAGUUAGUAGCUAGAUGGCUUCUUCUCUCUCUUUGAAUCUCAAUACAAAGUUCUCCCCCUCUCUUGUGGAGAUCUAUUCGAUGUAAUCUUCUUUUUGUGGUGUGUUUGUUGAGACCGAUGAAUUGUGGGUUUAUGAUCAAGUCUAUCUAUGCAUGAUUGGUUAUCUUUGCAAGUCUCUUCGAAUUAUCCGGUUGGUUUGGCCAACUAGAUUGGUAGUUCUUGCCAUGGGAGAAGUGUUUAGCUUUGGGUUCGAUCUUGCGAUGUCCUUACCCAGUGACAGAAGGGGCAGCAAGGCACGUAUUGUAUCGUUGCCAUCGAGGAUAACAAGAUGGGGUUUAUUUCAUAUUGCAUGAAUUUAUCUCUCUACAUCAUGUCAUCUUGCUUAAGGCGUUACUCUAUUUUUAACUUAAUACUUUAGAUGCAUGCUGGAUAGCGGUCGAUGAGUGGAGUAAUAGUAGUAGAUGCAGAAUCGUUUUGAUCUACUUGUCACGGACGUGAUGCCUAUAUACAUGAUCAUGCCUAGAUAUUCUCAUAAUUAUGCUCAAUUCUAUCAAUUGCUCAACAGUAAUUUGUUCACCCACCGUAGAAUACUUAUGCUCUUGAGAGAAGCCACUAGUGAAACCUAUGACCCCCGGGUCUAUUCUCAUCAUAUCAAUCUCCAUAACUUUUAUAUUGUUUUUCUAUUUACUUUGCUUUUACUUUUUACUUUGCAUCUUUAUAUAAAAAAUACCAAAAAUAUUCUAUCUAUCAGAUCUCACUCUCGUAAGUGACCGUGAAGGGCUUGACAACCCCUAAUCGCGUUGGUUGCGAGUAGCUAUCGCUUUGUGAAGGUACGAGGGACUUGAGCGUGGGCUCCUACUGGAUUGAUACCUUGGUUCUCAAAAACUGAGGGAAAUACUUAUGCUACUCUGCUGCAUCAUCCCUUCCUCUUCGAGGAAAACCAACGCAAGCUCAAGACGUAGCAGCGCUCCGGCGCCACCGGAAGCAAGGGGAGAGAGGCCCCCUUCUUCUUAUUCUUCCUUGACCUCCUCCCUAGAUGGGAGAAGGGUUUACCCUCUGGUCCUUGGCUCCCAUGGCGUGGGAGGGGCGAGAGCCCCUCAGAGGUUGGAUCUAUCUCUCUGUUUCUGCGUUCUCAGAUCCUUCCCCUUCACCGUUUCUUUUAUAUCUGGAGAUCCGUAACUCCGAUUGGGGUGAGUCUUUCGCCCAGAUUUUUCUCAUAAAAUUAGCUUUCUUGCGGCAAAAGAAGAGCGUCAACCGCCUUACGGGUGGCCCACAAGAGUGCCAGGCGCUCCCCCCUGUCUCGUGGCCACCUCAGACACUGUUUCGCGUUGAUUCUUCCUCCGGAAAAUCCCAAAUAUCCCAAAAUAAUUCUUCGUCUGUUUUUAUCCCGUUUGGAUUCCGUUUGAUAUUGGGUUUCUAUGAAACAUAAAACAUGCAACAAACAGGAACUGGCACUAGGCACUGGAUCAAUAUGUUAGUCCCAAAAAAUAGUAUAAAAAGUUGUCAAAAGUAUAUGAAAGUUGAAUAAUAUUGGCAUGGAACAAUCAAAAAUUAUAGAUAGGACGAAGACGUAUCAACAUCCCCAAGCUUAAUUCCUGCUCGUCCUCGAGUAGGUAAAUGAUAAAAAAAGAUAAUUUUUGAUUUGGAAUGCUACCUAGCAUAAUCUUGAUCAUAUGUCUAAUCAUGGCAUGAAUAUUAAGACACGGGUGAUUCAAGGCAAUAGUCUAUCAUUUGACAUAAAAACAAUAAUACUUCAAGCAUACCAACCAAGCAAUUAUGUCUUAUCGAAAUAACAUAGCCAAAGAAAGCUCAUUCCUACAAAAUCAUAUAGUCUGGCUAUGCUCCAUCUUCAUUACACAAAAUACUCCCAUCAUGCACAACCCCGGUUUCAGCCAAGCAAUUGGUUCAUACUUUUUAACCCGCUUCAGCUUUUUCAACCCUCAUGCAAUACAUGAGGGCAAGCCAUGGAUAUAGCACUAUAGGUGGAAUAGAAUAUGAUGGUGAAGGUUUAUGUGGAGAAGACAAAAAGGUCACAUCGACACGGCUAAUCAACGGGCUAUGGAGAUGCCCACCAAUUGAUGUCAAUGCGAGGAGUAGGGAUUGCCAUGCAACAGAUGCACUAGAGCUAUAAGUGUAUGAAAGCUCAAACUGAAAACUAAGUGGGUGUGCAUCCAACUUGCUUGCUCAUAAAGACCUUGCGCGUUUGAGGAAGCCCAUCAUCGGAAUAUACAAGCCAAGUUCUAUAAUGAAAAUUCUCACUAGUAUAUGAAAAGUGAAAACUCAAGAGACUCUCUAUAUGAAGAACAUGGUGCUAUUUUGAAACACAAGUGUGGUAAAAGGAUAGUAACAUUGCCCCUCCUCUCUUUUUCCCUCAUUUUCUCUUUUUUUUUCUUUUUUUCUUUUUGGUGGGCUUCUUUGGCCUCUUUUUUUUAUUUGGGCUUCUUUGGCCUCUUUUAUUUUUCAUAAAGUCCGGAGUCUCAUCCCGACUUGUGGAGGAAUCAUAGUCUCCUUCAUCCUUUCCUCACUGGGGCAAUGCUCUAAUAAUGAUGAUCAUCACACUUUUAUUUACUUACAACUCAAUAUUACAAUUCGAUAUCUCGAACAAAGAUAUGACUUUAUGUGAAUGCUCCAGCGGUGUACCGGGAUGUGCAAUGAUCUAGCAUAGCAAUGCCAUCAAAAAACGGACAAGCCAUGAAAACAUCAUGCUAGCUAUCUUACGAUCAUGCAAAGCAAUAUGACAAUGAAUGCUCAAGUCAUGAAUAUGAUGAUGAUGGAAGUUGCAUGGCAAUAUAUCUCGGAAUGGCUAUGGAAAUGCCAUAAUAGGUAGGUAUGGUGGCUGUUUUGAGGAAGAUAUAAGGAGGCUUAUGUGUGAUAGAGCGUAUCAUAUCACGGGGUUUGGAUGCACCGGCGAAGUUUGCACCAACUCUCGAGGUGAGAAAGGGUAAUGCAUGGUACCGUAGAGGCUAGCAAAUUGCGAAAAGGCAAGAGUGCGUAUAAUCCAUGGACUCACAUUAGUCAUAAAGAACUCAUAUACUUAUUGCAAAAGUCUACUUGCCCUCGAAGCAAAGUACUACUACGCAUGCUCCUAGGGGAAGGGUUGGUAGGAGUUAACCAUCGCGCGAUCCCGACCUCCACUCACAAGGAAAGCAAUCAAAGAGCACCUCAUGCUCCAACUUCGUUACAUAACGGUUCACCAUACGUGCAUGCUACAGGACUUGCAAACCUCAACACAAGUAUUUCUCAAUUUCACAAUUACUCAACUAGCACGACUCUAAUAUCACCACCUUUAUAUCGCAAAACUAUUGCAAGGAAUCAAACAUAUCAUAUUUAGUGAUCUACAAGUUUAUGUAAGAUUUUAUGACUAACCAUGUGAAUGACCAAUUCCUGUCAUCUCUCUAAAUUGAUAUAAGUGAAGCAAGAGAGUUUAAUUCUUUCUACAAAAGAUAUUCCCAUGCUCUAACAAAUAUAAGUGAAGCAAAAGAGCAUUCUACAAAUGGCGGUUUUCUAAGUGAAGAGAAACAGGCAAUCCAACCUUCAAAUGAUAUAAGUGAAGCACAUGAAGCAUUCUAUAUAGCCAUACUCAAAAGAUUUAAGUGAAGUGCAAUGAGCAUUCUAUAAAUCAACCAAGGACUAUCUCAUACCAGCAUGGUGCAUAAAAGAAAAGUGAAAACUAAAUGCAAAAUACGCUCCAAGACUUGCACAUAAUGCAUGAACGAAACGAAUCCGAAAACAUACCGAUACUUGUUGAAGAAAGAGGGGAUGCCUUCCGGGGCAUCCCCAAGAUUAGACGCUUGAUUCUCCUUGAAUAUUUACUUGGGGUGCCUCGGGCAUCCCCAAGCUUGAGCUCUUGCCUCUCUUCCUUUUCCUCAUAUCGAGACCUCCUCGAUUAGACACUUCAUCCACACAAAACUUCAACAGAAAACUCGGUAAGAUCUGUUAGUAUAAUAAAGCAAAUCACCACUCUAAGUACUUUUGCAAACCAAUUCAUAUUUUGUUUUUGCAUUGUAUCUACUGUAAUAUAGCUUUUACAUGGCUUAAUCCACUGAUAUAAAUUGAUAGCUUCAUCAAAAUAAGCAAAUUAUGCAUCAAAAACAGAAUCUGUCAAAAACAGAACAGUCUGUAGAAAUCUGAACAUCCACCAUACUUACGGUACCCCAAAAAUUCUACCAAAAUUAGGAAAAAUAAAUAAGUUGUAUAGAAAGACAUUUCAAAAGGAAUCAUAAUCAAUUGAUGUUCCAGUUAAAAAUGUAAAAUCACGCACUACAGCCAAAGUUUUUGUCCUGCACCGUACAAACCAACAAGCAAUGUAAACAUCCUAAAGGCAAACCUUGGCACAUUAUUUUUAUAAUACAAUGGAAUUGUACAAGGGGAUAAUUAUUUUUGAUGAAAAGUUUCUGUAAUCAAGAUUCACAAAGUUUCCGUGAGCAUGAACAAAGUUCAAGGCUAGCUCCCACUUCAACAAUGCUUGUCUUUUUCACUUUCACUUUCCUUUUUGAAAAGUUUUAGGGUUCCCCUCUUUAUUUUUUUGUUUUUAAACUAUAUAAAAGCACUCAACAGAAAUAAAUGACUCUCUAAAACUUCCGGGUUGUCUCCCUGGCAGCGCUUUCUUUAAAGCCAUUAAGCUAGGCAUUUAGUGCUCAAGUAAUGAAUCCACCCGGAUCCCAAGGUAUAUCAAAGCCAAUUUUAAUUAACAAUGAAUUGUAAUUUAGUAGUGAUCACAAAGUAACAUAUAUCAAGCAACAACGAAGUCUAACUCUCUUUCUAUGCAUCGGCAUGUCAUAAAAGAACAAUUCAUGCACACAUAGUAAAGGCCAAUGCAUAGUAUAAACAGAUUCUUGCAAUUCUAUCAUAUUGGAAACAUAGAGAGGUGGAGAUAUAGUUCCUCUCUCAUAAUAAUUGCAAGUAGGAGCAGCAAGCACAUGCAUAUUAUAUCUAUCAAAAUUAUCAUGUGCAACGGUAAAAGGCAACCCAUCAAUAUAAUCCUUACUAAGCGCAAACUUCUCCGAUAUAGUGUAGUAGGGAGAAUUCAAAAAGAUAAUAAGACUAUCAUGCAUGGGUGCAAUAGCAACAAUUUCAUGUUUAACAUAAGGAACUAUAGAAAGUUCAUCUCCAUAAGCAUAAUUCAUAUUGGCAUCUUGGCCACAAGCAUAGCAAGCAUCAUCAAAAAGGGAUAUUUCAAACAAAUUCAAGGGAUCAUAGCAAUCAUCCUUCGGUAAGCACGAAGGGGAAUUAAAAAAUGUAUGAGUUGAAGAGUUACUCUCAUUAGAAGGUGGGCACGGGUGAUCAAUCCGCUCUUCCUCCUUUUGUUCUUCGCUCUCCUCAUCAUCUUUUUCAUCCAAUGAGCUCAUAGUUUUAUCAAUUUCUUCUUCCAUAGCUUCCUGCAAAAUAUUAGUCCCUUCUUGGACAGCGGAGACUUUCUCAAUAAAUGCAUUAAUAUUGUAAUUGUAUUCAUAAUUUUCAUAGAAAUAUCUAAGUAUAGCAAGAUUUGCAGGCCUAUAAACAUCAUCAUCAAAAGCUUCAUACUUUUCAAACAAAGAUUAAAUUUCAUAAGCAGCCUUAAAAGCAAUAAAUUCUUCAAUUUGUUCAACAUCAUAGUAAUCAUAUAUACCAUUAGCAUAAGAAGCUAAGGUUUCGUUAUCAUUAAAUUUGCAUGAAAAGGGAAGGUGUGGAGCCUUCAUCCUAGAGCAACAAGUAAUAUCAUAUCUCAAGCAUAGAUCCCGAGCAUACCAACACAACAUAUUAAUUUGAUCCUAUAAUAGUUUCCCUUUUGUGUAAAGCGAUAAUCCCUAAAGUUUUCGCGUUGAUCCAACGUGUCUCCCAUUAUAAAGUUGGGGUUUUCUCAGGAUUACCAAAGUAGUACAUAAUAUCUUUCACAUAAUGAGAAUCGAGGGUUUUAAGAGUUACCCCAUCUCCAUGAGUAGCAAGUACACCUAAUUUUUUUGGUAUUUCGUGUUCCAUAUCCAUAACUGAAGAUAGAGAACAACAUAGAACAGCAAAUAAAAAUUACUUAGUGAUAAAGCAAACAAGCACACACGAGAAUAUUCACCCCACGCUAUGACUCCCUGGCAACGGCGCCAGAAAAAGGUCUUGAUAACCCGCAAGUAUACGGGAUAGUUGUAGCCUCUUUCGAUAAGUAAGAGUGUCGAACCCAACGAGGAGCUAAAGGUAGAACAAAUACUCUCUCAAGUCCUAUCGGCCACUGAUACGACUCUACGCACGCUUGACGUUCGCUUUACCUAGAACAAGUAUGAAACUAGAAGUACUUUGUAGGUCUUGUUGGAUAGGUUUGCAAGAUAAUAAAGAACACGUAAAUAUAAACUAGGGGCUGUUUAGAUAAAGAUGCAAAAAAAGCGAGUGUGGAAAAGUGGUGGUAGGAGUUGUGAAAGUGUCCCUAAGCAAUUGACUACGUUACUAGAUCGAUAGCAAGUUUUAUGUGGGAGAGGCAUAAGCUAACAUACUUCCUCUUCUUGGAUCAUAUGCACUUAUGAUUGGAAAUCUAGCAAGCGUCCGCAACUACUAAAGAUUCAUUAAGGUAAAACUCAACCAUAUCAUUAAGAUAUAUUGGUCUCCCUUUAAUCCCAUACACAACAAUCCCCUUACUCGGGUUUAAGCUUCUGUCACUCUAGCAACCCACUAUAAGCGAAUCAUGAACGUAUUGCAACACCCGACAGCGGGAAUCCCUCACACUUGCGCGACACGGAGGGCACAAUAGGACAGCAACAUAACCACAAGCAAAUUAAACAAAUCAUAGCAAUUCAUCAACCACCAAUAGGACAAUGAAAAUCUACUUAGACAUCAUAGGAUGGCAACACAUUAUUGGAUAAUAAUAUGAAGCAUAAAGCACCAUGCUCAAGUAGAGGGUACAACGGGUUGCGGGAGAGUGGACCGCUGAAUAUAGAUGGGGGAAGGUGAUGGAGAUGUUGGUGAAGAUGGUGGAGGUGUUGGUGAAGAUCGCGGUGAUGAUGAUGGCCCCCGGCAGCGCUCCGGCGCCACCGGAAGCAAGGGGGAGAGAGGCCCCCUUCUUCUUCUUCUUCCUUGACCUCCUCCCUAGAUGGGAGAAGGGUUUCCCCUCUGGUCCUUGGCUCCCAUGGCGUGGGAGGGGCGAGAGCCCCUCCGAGAUUGGAUCCAUCUCUCUGUUUCUGCAUUCUCAGAUCCUUCCCCUUCACCGUUUUUUAUAUCCGGAGAUCCGUAACUCCGAUUGGGGUGAAUCUUUCGCCCAGAUUUUUCUCAUAAAAUUAGCUUUCUUGCGGCAAAAGAAGAGCGUCAACCGCCUUAAGGGUGGCCCACGAGAGUGCCAGGCGCGCCCAGGAGGGGUGGGCGCGCCCCCCUGUCUCGUGGCCACCUCGGACACUAUUUCGCGUUGAUUCUUCCUCCGGAAAAUCCCAAAUAUUCCAAAAUAAUUCUCCGUCCGUUUUUAUCCCGUUUGGAUUCCGUUUGAUAUUGGGCUUCUGCGAAACAUAAAACAUGCAACAAAGAGGAACUGGCACUGGGCACUGAAUCAAUACGUUAGUCCCAAAAAAUAGUAUAAAAAGUUGCCAAAAGUAUAUGAAAGUUGAAUAAUAUUGGCAUGGAACAAUCAAAAAUUAUAGAUACGACAGAUACGUAUCAAUCAUGCGUGUCGCCAAAGGACAAGAUGGAGGGGGGAUUGUCAUCGCCGUGACCGCCUCAUCAAAUUGGAGAGAAGUGAAAACAUUGAGGAGGGUGUUCGUACCUUCGGUCAUAGUAGAAGAGGGGGGCGGUCAUCGGAUAAGGAACCAGAGAGGAAGGGGAGCCACCAAAGCACGAGAUGGCGGGAGAGGGGGAGGGAAGGAGGGAAGAUUGGCAUCAUCGUUACCGCUUCAUUGAAUGUGAGGAGAGGUAAAAACAUUCAGACAAGUGUUUGUACGUUUAGUCAUAGUAGAAGAGGGGGCGAUCACCGGAUAUGGAACCGGGGAGGAAGGGGAACUCCCAGAGCACGAGAUGGCGGGGGAGGGGGAUCAAAGGAGGGAAGAUUGUCAUCGCCGUUACUGCCUCGUUGAAUGUGAGGAGAAGUAAAAACAUUGAGACGGGUGUUCGUAUGUUCGGUCAUAGUAGAAGAGGGGGCGAUCACCGGAUAAGGAACCAGAAAGGAAGGGGGAGCCACCGAAGAGCAUGGCUCCAAGCUAAAGAGGAUGGCGGUAAUUCAAGUGGCACGUGGAAUAAAUUGUGGAGUGGGGAUAUCACCGAUGUAACAUUACAAAUGGGUGCUGGACCCAUCAUAGAUGUGUGGUGUUAAAGUUUGUAUGUGAUAGGCCUGUGGUAGAAAUCCGUCUCCGAUGUGUGACCAACGUUGACGGAUAACCCGGUCGACGAAGUCUCCUUUGAUGGGUUCUAAGAUAUCAACAUGUCUACAAUGGCCUAGUCAAUUCCAUAAAAAUUAACCCUAACCAGCAUGCCUCCCUUUCAUUUCCAAUCAGAGUCCCCACCACCUCAAUCAAUGUGUCUAGAUCGUACCUACUUCGCCAAAAAAACAAGAACUGGGAGAGGAUUGCUCCCUCAUCGACAUCCCUCCGAUGGAGGAGAGAUGGUGUCAUUAGGCGGUGUCAAACAUUCAGUCGUAGAAAGAAGGGGGCACCAGAUAAAGAGCUCGAGAGGAAGAGGAGCCACAUAGAGCAUGGCACCGAACUCUUUGGGAUGGAAAAAAUGCAAGUGUCAAAUGCCAAGUGCAAAACAGUCAUUCAUGAGAUGACGAGAACACUAUAUUAUUUAAUAACAACAGAACCAUGUUUGGUUGGAGCUAUUUAGACAAGGGGAAUGUAGUUUUAAGGGUUCUAAGAUAUAAAGUGACCUAUUUCAUUGGAGGCGAUGAGAAUUAGGGGGGUUGGACUUGGGAGUUAAUUAGAGUCUAACUUUCCACGUAGAUAUAUGUAAGUUGACUUAAUUUAUAGUUUGGGUAAGUCCAUUUUGUGUGAAAAGGAAUGGUUGAGGAGGAAGAAGAAAGAAGGUUGACCAUUGGAUCUUUAAUCUGAUGACCAGGAAAAUUGACCUAACCGAAAUAAUUUUUCAAGCGACUUACAUAAGCCUCUUCCCUAACUUUCACCAUCUUAUUAGAGAAGGGAGUGGGUGGAAAUUGGGAGGGAACUGAUAAACAUAGAACAUCUUAAAUCCUCGCUUGAAACACCACGUCUGCAUGCUUGUUUAAAUUCUUGAAGUAUUCAAGUUGGUGGUAAUUUUUCAGGUUUAAAUCCUCACUUUUCUUAUGAAUACUUUAGAAUAUUUUCCUUGGGGUGCUCGGACAAUUGGAUUAUUAUGUUCAUUGCCAAAUGUAACCAAUUAUUGGAGUAGUUAAACGGAACUUGAGCAAAUGUUACUAUGAUUUUUUAUGUGGUUAUCAGCUUAUUAGGAUCAUUUGUCUUGUUGCUAUAAUACCGAAGCGAGUUUAAAUGAACUGUAGAGUGGGACAUCACUAACAUGGAACCAUAAUAGAUGGGCAGUGUUAAAGUUCGUCUAAGGCUUCGUUCGAAAGUUCUCUGUUACGUCCAUUUUGCAUCAUAUUUUUAUAUUCAUAUUUAUUGCAGCAUGGCCUGUUAUUACACUUUAAGAUACAAUUAUUAUGCCUUUUCUCUCUUAUUUACAAGGUUUACAUGAAGAGGGAGAAUGCUGGCAGCUGGAAUUCUGGACCUAAAAGGAGCAGAUCUGAGAUACCUAUUCUGCACAACUCCAAAUAUCCUGAAACUUUACAGAGAAUUGUUUUGGAAUAUAUAAAAAAAUAUUGGGCGAAGAAACAACAGAAGAGGACCCACCAGGUGGCCACANNNNNNNNNNNNNNNNNNNNNNNNNNNNNNNNNNNNNNNNNNNNNNNNNNNNNNNNNNNNNNNNNNNNNNNNNNNNNNNNNNNNNNNNNNNNNNNNNNNNNNNNNNNNNNNNNNNNNNNNNNNNNNNNNNNNNNCUGGUGUCCAUCUUCUGCUAUAUGAAAGGUUUUGACCUAGAAAAAAUCAUAAGGAAGAUUUCGGGACGAAGCCCGCCGUCUCGAGGCGGAACCUGGGCAUAAGCAAUCUAGGACUCUACCAGAGCGAUUCUGCAGGGAAACUUCCCUCUGGGAGGGGGAAUCGAAGCCAUCGUCAUUACCGACGAUCCUAUCAUCGUGAGAGGGUCAAUCUUCAUCAACAUCUUCACCAGCACCAUCUCCUCUCAAAUCUUAGUUCAUCUCUUGUAUUCAAUCUUUUCCUCAGAACCUCAAAUUGUUACCUGUGGGUUGCUAGUAGUGUUGAUUACUCUUUGUAGUUGAUGCUAGUUGGUUUAUUUGGUGUAAAAUCAUAUGUUUAGAUCCUUAAUGAUAUUCAAUACCCCUCUGAUCUUUAACAUGAGCAUGCUUUGUGAGUAGUUACGUUUGUUCCCGAGGACAUGGGAGAAGUCUUGUUAUAAGUAAACAUGUGAAUUUGGUAUUCGUUCCAUAUUUUGAUGAGAUGUAUGUUGUAUUUUCUCUAGUGGUGUUAUGUGAACGUCAACUACAUGACACUUCACCAUGAUUUGGGCCUAGGAAAAGGCGGGAAGUAGCAAGUAGACGAUGGGUUGCUAGAGUGGCAGAAGAUUAAACCCUAGUUUAUGUGUUGCUUCGUAAGGGGCUGAUUUGGAUCCACAUGUCUUAUGCUAUGGUUAGAUAUAUCUUGGUUCUUCUUUCGUAGUUGCGGAUACUUGCGAGAGGGGUUAAUUAAAAGUGAGAGGCUUGUUCAAGUAAGGACAGCACGCAAGCGCCGGCCCACCCACAUAUCAAAUUAUCAAAGUAAUGAACGCGAAUCAUAUCAGCAUGAUGAAAACUAAGUUGAUGAUAAUUCCCAUGUAUCCUCGGAAGCGCUUUGCUUUAUAUAAGAAUUUGUCAAGGCUUAUCCUUUGCUACAAAAAGGAUUGGGCCAUCUUACUGCACCUUUGUUACACUUGUUACUUGUUACUCGUUGUGAAUUACCUUGCCACCAAACUAUCCUGUUACCGAUAUUUUCAGUGCUUGCAGAGAAUACCUUACUGAAAACCGCUAGUCAUUUCCUUCUACUCCUCGUUGGGUUCGACACUCUUACUUAUCGAAAGGCUACAAUUGAUCCCUAUACUUGUGGGUCAUCAUUCUCUGGCAACUUUAGGCCCCAUUCCGAAGUUCUCUGGCUUCCCAAACUGGCCAGCCAGCCAAGCCAGCUUCGCACGGGAGUGGUGAAGCGUUCGGCAACGACUGCUUCUGCUCCGUCGGCAUGGGCCAUAGAGGAGAGGCACGGGCUAGUCUGACACUGGGGUCGUGAGGUCACUGGUUUGCUCAGGAGUGUCUUCUCUAAUUGAAAUGGUACGCAAGUCACUUUGGAAUGGCAUUCUUGUGUAAAUUCAUUCAACUCAUUCUUCGUCGUUUGGAGGAGCUACGCUUCCGCUGCUCCACGAAAUUGUGUUGCGGGAGGGCUAUGCUUCCUAAAGCUGGCUUCGCGGACCUGGGCUGUUUGGCAUCGCUCUUGUUGACGUAUAAAUGUAUUGUCUAGUCUAUUUUAUCAGAUCGGUUUUUUAGUUGCAUUGGCUAGAGCAUGCAUUUCUACAGCUCUACGCAUGGAGCUGGAGAGAAACCGAGCAGGCCAUAAGUUGACUAGAGGAUGGCAAGUUAGGGGCAAGCUGCUGAAGCACGAAAGUUAUUAUGCUUGGCAAUUAAAGUUGUCAUCCUCACAUCAUCAAACUUGCGUCUAAAGCCGUUCGGAGCUGGCAUUGUCUCGAACGUUCGAUACUUAUCAGAUUCGUAAAUUUUGUAACACCAACGUGUAUGGAGUGGCCCGACAUUGCAGACGACGACUGGGUAAAAUUUCGUCUUGUUAUAACUCUUGACGUGUCGACGCUCGCUGCAAAGGCGACGACGCUGUUGGAGUGUUUGUCGCUGCUGCCAGCCGGGAAGAGCAAGAAGGGGAAAGGGGAUGGCCGCCGACGCCGCCUACGUGAAGCGGGUGCUGCUCGCCUGCAACGGCGGCGGCGACGCCGUCUCGCGGGGGGUCGCCGUCGGCCUAGCCAGGCACGGCUGCAGGUACUCCCUCUCACCUCGCCGCCGUUCCCCUUCUUCUUCCUGUUGCUCGGUUCUGAAUCUAAGCGCGCGCGCGCGCGUACAGGCUGGUCCUGGUGGGCGACGAGGGCGCCCUGGCCGCGACGGCGGAGGAGGCGCGGCGCUGCGCGGCCGGAGGGGCGGCGGCCGUCGCGGUGGUUGGGCUGGACUUCGCGGCCUGCGACGAGGCGGCCGUCGGCGCCGCGGUGGAGGCGGCCUGGCGCUGCUUCGGGGACGGCGGACUCGACGCCCUGGUCAACUGCUGCUCCUACGAGGGUAUGCACAUACUACUGACAGACACUGAUACACAUGCCCGAUUUCCCAUCUGACAGAAAUCUUUUACACAUGCCCAAGCCCGACUAAUCACCAACCCAAAUGUUGUCUGAAUCUUUCAGUCAGCUUAUCGUCCACUAAUUUCACCCAUGGACCUCUUUGACCAUGAAAUGUUUGCUUGACUGUAAGAGCAGGGGAAGUGCAAGACUGCCUCAGCGUGACUGAAGAUGAGUACAACAAGACCAUGAAAGUCAAUGUAAUCACACCCUGGCUUCUGAUAAAGGCGAUCGCCAAGCGGUUCCGCGAUGCGCAGUCCGGCGGCUCUGUGGUAUGCUUGACCCAGAUCAUCGGCGCCGAGAGAGGAUUGUAUCCGGGGGCGGCGGCAUAUGGCACAAGUUUAGGCGCCGUUCACCAGCUCGUCAGAGUAAGCCUUCUUCCUUGUUACCAAAAAAGCCUGAAUGAUUAAUCACGGAAAUCCUGAAUGCGUACAUGACCAUGAUGUUCUUUGUUUUUUCAGCUAUCGGCGAUGGAGCUCGGCAAGCACAAGAUCAGGGUGAAUGCCGUCUGCCGCGGCCUCCACCUGGGGGACAAGUUCCCUGUCUCUGUUGGGGAGGAGAAGGCCGAGAAGGCGACCAGGGAGGUAAUGCCGCUGCGGCGGUGGCUGGACCCAGAGAAGGACCUCGCUUCCACGGUGCUGUACCUGGUCGGCGACGACUCCCGCUUCAUGACAGGCACCACCAUCUACGUCGACGGCGCACAGUCCAUAGUGCGCCCUCGCAUGCGUUCCUUCCUGUAGGUAUGGUUGCCCAUGUCUGGGUUUCCACAUUCCAUCAGGAUGACUCCUGAUAUGUUGUUUGUCGAAUAACAGUGGGUCUCUGUGAAUGCAAUAAUUAAUGGCAGAGUAAAGAUCAAAUUUGAAAAGGACUACCCAGAAGCAACAUGAGCGGCACAGCAGGCCCCUCUUCAGAUUAAAAGUUUUUGAAGAACAAUCUGCUAAACUUUAUUAAAGGAGAGUAAUGUUUACAGGGACUCAUACAGGAUCAUAACCAUCAUCGCCGACAUCAAAACAAACUCUUGAAACUGAUUGUAUGCCUUAAUAGUUCUGGAACGAGAUACGCAAAGCCCAUCACAUAAAAUUGGAGCAAAACUUCAGGUGAAAGAACGGGUAAUGAUGUGGAGUGAGUCAGCAUAGGAUGCACAAUUGCUUGGUGGGUUGGUUGGUUCACUCGUCCUUCUCCGCCAGCGCAGCCUUGCGGCUGCUCCUCUCAGCGAGGACCGACUUGGUCUUCUCCAGCACGCCGAAGAAGAUGG